RNAcentral lists this transfer RNA (73 nucleotides) under Paraphoma chrysanthemicola. It matches the Rfam family "tRNA". Rfam says of the family: Transfer RNA (tRNA) molecules are approximately 80 nucleotides in length. The record is from Rfam by way of RNAcentral. Lineage: Eukaryota; Fungi; Ascomycota; Dothideomycetes; Pleosporales; Phaeosphaeriaceae.
GCCCGGCUGGCACAAUCGGUAGCGCGUGAGACUCUUAAUCUCAAGGUUGUGGGUUCAAGCCCCACGUCGGGCU